GUGGGUGAGUAAUGAAUGGGUAACCUUCCCAAAAGACUGGGAUAACGCCUCGAAAGAGGUGCUAAUACCGGAUGUGAUUGCCGAAACCCAAGUUUUGGCAAUUAAAUGAUGGCCUCUAUUUAUAAGCUAUCGCUUUUGAUUGGGCCCAUUUCCCAUUAGCUAGUUGGCAGGGUAAUGGCCUACCAAGGCUUCGAUGGGUAGCCGGUCUGAGAGGAUGUACGGCCACACUGGGACUGAGAAACGGCCCAGACUCCUGCGGGAGGCAGCAGUGGGGAAUCUUCCGCAAUGGACGCAAGUCUGACGGAGCGACGCCGCGUGCAGGAUGAAGGCCUUCGGGUUGUAAACUGCUUUCGAAAGGGAAUAAGUGCAGCAGGCGAAUAGUACUGCUGUUUGACUGUACCUUAGGAAGAAGCUACGGCUAACUCUGUGCCAGCAGCCGCGGUAAUACAGAGGCAGCAAGCGUUGUCCGGAUUCACUGGGCGUAAAGGACGUGUAGGCGGCCCUAUAAGUCGGGUGUGAAAUCGUUCUGCUUAACAGAACAAUAGCUCCCGAUACUGUUUGGCUUGAGUGCAGGAGGGGAAAAUGGAAUUUCCGGUGUAGCGGUGAAAUGCGUAGAUAUCGGAAAGAACACCCGUGGCGAAGGCGGUUUUCUGGCCUGCAACUGACGCUGAGGCGUAAAAGCUAGGGGAGCAAACGGGAUUAGAUACCCCGGUAGUCCUAGCCGUAAACGAUGUACACUAGGUGUGGGGGGUUUAUUCCCUCUGUGCCGCCGGUAACCCAUUAAGUGUACCGCCUGGGAACUACGGCCGCAAGGUUGAAACUCAAAGAAAUUGACGGGGGUCCGCACAAGCGGUGGAGCAUGUUGUUUAAUUCGACGCAACGCGAAGAACCUUACCCGGGUUUGACAUGCUUUUGAAACUCUUAUGAAAGUAGGAGCCUGGCGUAGCAAUACGUCACAAUUGCACAGGUGCUGCAUGGCUGUCGUCAGCUCGUGUCGUGAGAUGUUGGGUUAAGUCCUCUAACGAGCGCAACCCCUAUUGCUAGUUGCCAUCAGGUCAUGCUGGGCACUCUAGCGAUACUGCCUGGGAUAACCAGGAGGAAGGCGGGGAUGACGUCAAGUCCUCAUGGCCCUUAUAUCCGGGGCUACAAACGUGCUACAAUGGCAGAUACAGCGGGUUGCCAAGUCGCGAGACCGAGCUAAUCCCUUUAAAGUCUGUCUCAGUUCGGAUUGGAGUCUGCAAUCGACUCCAUGAAGCUGGAAUCGCUAGUAAUCGCGGAUCAGCUACGCCGCGGUGAAUACGUUCCCGGGCCUUGUACACACCGCCCGUCACGCCACGAAAGCCCGUUGUACUAGAAGACCGCAAUGCAACCCGCAAGGGAGCUAGCGGGACAAGGUAUGACUGGUGAUUGGGGCGAAGUCGUAACAAGGUA
This 1431-nucleotide ribosomal RNA is filed under the name metagenome. RNAcentral describes it as "bacterial SSU rRNA". It matches the Rfam family "Bacterial small subunit ribosomal RNA". The record is from RNAcentral.